RNAcentral lists this ribosomal RNA (253 nucleotides) under uncultured bacterium. RNAcentral describes it as "partial 16S ribosomal RNA". It matches the Rfam family "Bacterial small subunit ribosomal RNA", at positions 524 to 776 of the family's 1533-position model. The record is from RNAcentral.
UACAGAGGGUGCGAGCGUUAAUCGGAAUUACUGGGCGUAAAGCGCGCGUAGGCGGCUUUGCAAGUCGGGUGUGAAAUCCCCAGGCUUAACCUGGGAACUGCAUUCGAGACUGCAUUGCUAGAGUAUGGGAGAGGGAAGUGGAAUUUCCGGUGUAGCAGUGAAAUGCGUAGAGAUGUGGAGGAACACCGAUGGCGAAGGCAGCCCCCUGGGUCAAGAUUGACGCUCAUGCACGAAAGCGUGGGGAGCAAACAGG